GCGGCGGACGGGUGAGUAACACGUGGAUAACCUACCUAUAAGACUGGGAUAACUUCGGGAAACCGGAGCUAAUACCGGAUAAUAUAUUGAACCGCAUGGUUCAAUAGUGAAAGACGGUUUUGCUGUCACUUAUAGAUGGAUCCGCGCCGCAUUAGCUAGUUGGUAAGGUAACGGCUUACCAAGGCAACGAUGCGUAGCCGACCUGAGAGGGUGAUCGGCCACACUGGAACUGAGACACGGUCCAGACUCCUACGGGAGGCAGCAGUAGGGAAUCUUCCGCAAUGGGCGAAAGCCUGACGGAGCAACGCCGCGUGAGUGAUGAAGGUCUUCGGAUCGUAAAACUCUGUUAUUAGGGAAGAACAAAUGUGUAAGUAACUAUGCACGUCUUGACGGUACCUAAUCAGAAAGCCACGGCUAACUACGUGCCAGCAGCCGCGGUAAUACGUAGGUGGCAAGCGUUAUCCGGAAUUAUUGGGCGUAAAGCGCGCGUAGGCGGUUUUUUAAGUCUGAUGUGAAAGCCCACGGCUCAACCGUGGAGGGUCAUUGGAAACUGGAAAACUUGAGUGCAGAAGAGGAAAGUGGAAUUCCAUGUGUAGCGGUGAAAUGCGCAGAGAUAUGGAGGAACACCAGUGGCGAAGGCGACUUUCUGGUCUGUAACUGACGCUGAUGUGCGAAAGCGUGGGGAUCAAACAGGAUUAGAUACCCUGGUAGUCCACGCCGUAAACGAU
RNAcentral lists this ribosomal RNA (728 nucleotides) under Staphylococcus epidermidis. Its description in RNAcentral is "bacterial SSU rRNA". It matches the Rfam family "Bacterial small subunit ribosomal RNA", at positions 95 to 810 of the family's 1533-position model. Lineage: Bacteria; Bacillati; Bacillota; Bacilli; Caryophanales; Staphylococcaceae. The record is from RNAcentral.